Corylus avellana is the source of this 105-nucleotide small nucleolar RNA. RefSeq annotates it as small nucleolar RNA SNORD90. The record is from RefSeq and is a predicted model, not a curated record. NCBI's taxonomy places the organism in Eukaryota, Viridiplantae, Streptophyta, Magnoliopsida, Fagales, Betulaceae.
GUACAAUUUUUUGACGUGUCAAAAUGGCACGUCAAAAAUUUUUUGACGUGUCAUUUUGACACGUCAAAAACGUUUCUGACGUGUCAUUUUGACACGUCAAAAAUA